AACCGGAAACGGUUGCUAAUACCGCAUAAUGCAGCGGCACCUAAUGGUGACAGUUGUUAAAGCGGGGGAUCGCAAGACCUCGCGUCUGAAGAGGAGCCUGCGGCAGAUUAGCUAGUUGGUAAGGUAACGGCUUACCAAGGCGAUGAUCUGUAGCCGGCCUGAGAGGGCGGUCGGCCACACUGACACUGACAUACGGGUCAGACUCCUACGGGAGGCAGCAGUCGGGAAUUUUGGGCAAUGGGCGAAAGCCUGACCCAGCAACGCCGCGUGAAGGAUGAAAUCCCUCGGGAUGUAAACUUCGCAAGAACAGGAAGAAUAAGUGAGAGUUAAUAUCUCUUACGAUGACGGUACUGUUUGUAAGCUCCGGCUAACUCCGUGCCAGCAGCCGCGGUAAUACGGGGGGAGCAAGCGUUGUUCGGAUUUACUGGGCGUAAAGGGCGCGUAGGCGGCCACCGCAAGUCGACUGUGAAAUCUCCGGGCUUAACUCGGAAAGGUCAGCCGAUACUGCGGGGCUAGAGUGCAGAAGGGGCAACUGGAAUUCUCGGUGUAGCGGUGAAAUGCGUAGAUAUCGAGAGGAACACCUGCGGCGAAGGCGGGUUGCUGGGCUGACACUGACGCUGAUGUGCGAAAGCUAGGGGAGCGAACGGGAUUAGAUACCCCGGUAGUCCUAGCCUUAAACGAUGAAUGCUUGGUGUCUGGGGUUUUAUAGUCCCCGGGUGCCGUCGCUAACGCUUUAAGCAUUCCGCCUGGGGAGUACGGUCGCAAGACUGAAACUCAAAGGAAUUGACGGGGGCCCGCACAAGCGGUGGAGCAUGUGGUUCAAUUCGAAGCAACGCGCAGAACCUUACCAACCUUUGACAUGUCCCGUAUGAGCACCAGAGAUGGAGCUCUUCAGUUCGGCUGGCGGGAACACAGGUGCUGCAUGGCUGUCGUCAGCUCGUGUCGUGAGAUGUUGGGUUAAGUCCCGCAACGAGCGCAACCCUCGCCCUUAGUUGCCAUCAUUCAGUUGGGCACUCUAGGGGGACUGCCGGUGAUAAGCCGCGAGGAAGGUGGGGAUGACGUCAAGUCCUCAUGGCCCUUACAGGUUGGGCUACACACGUGCUACAAUGGCGGUGACAAUGGGAUGCAAUGGUGCAAGCCUGCGCAAAUCUCAAAAAGCCGUCUCAGUUCGGAUUGGGGUCUGCAACUCGACCCCAUGAAGUCGGAAUCGCUAGUAAUCGUGGAUCAGCAUGCCACGGUGAUCUAACCCGGCGGUGUACA
Molecule: ribosomal RNA, 1260 nt
Filed under: uncultured bacterium
Lineage: Bacteria
Description: bacterial SSU rRNA
Rfam family: Bacterial small subunit ribosomal RNA
Source: RNAcentral